UCCAAGCUCUAUGGAUAUAGCUCAAGCCCUUUGAAGUUGUAUCUUUUCUUUUCUGGGAGUGAGCAUAAUGAGCCCAAUUGAGCCUAGUCUUUGCACUUCAUGAAAACCUUUGUUGCAAGCUACUGGUGAGAGUUUGUGAUGAACCAAAUUGCUCACGUAAUGGAACUAAUUAAGUCGUUUGUUUUCAUGGUUACCUUGGAGCCUACACAAAGCAAGAACGAUUUGAAUAUUUUUCUUGGGAUCCCAAAUUUCGGCCAACUCUCCAUCAUCUUUCUUUGGCUGAGCGGCAUGUAUUUCCACGGUGCUCGUUUUUCCAAUUAUGAAGCGUGGCUAAGUGAUCCAACCCACAUUGGGCCGAGUGCUCAGGUGGUUUGGCCAAUAGUGGGCCAAGAAAUAUUGAAUGGUGAUGUGGGCGGGGGUUUCCGUUAAUAAUCCCGCAGGUACUGAAACCAUUAAAAGAACACCCAACAAUUUAUUUGGCACUGUACGAAGUAUUUGAAAUACAGGAAAGAAAUACCAUUCUGGUAAUAUUUCCAAAGGGGUUGCAAACGGAUCCGCCGGUUCACCAAUCAAAAAAGAAUCGAUUUGAUCCAGGUCAUUUCAGUUCUUAUCAAAGUUAAAACGGUUAGAUAAACUCUAUAUUUCCUCCCGUGAGACCCUCAUGGGAGGCAAGACGCUGACCACUGCAGAAAAAAAAUACCUACGCCGAGAAACGUCGAACCGAAUUGAAAUUUAACAUCGGAGAGAAGGUCUUUUUGAAAGUAUCUCCUUCCAAAAGAAUAACCAGAUUUGGACUCGAAGGUAAGCUAAAACCACGAUUCAUUGGACCCUAUGAAAUUCUGAAGGAAGUGGGUCCAGUAGCAUAUCGCUUGGCAUUACCACCCAACAUUAGGAACGUACACAACGUAUUCCACGUCUCCCAACUUCGAAGGUACGUGUUCGACCCAAAACAUGUGAUUCACCACGAAGAAAUCGCUCUAGAACCUGACCUGAGUUACGAAGAAAAGCCGGUAGAAAUACUAGAUCAAAAGGUGCAGCAGCUUCGGAAUAAGUCGAUUACUACAGUGAAGGUUUUGUGGAAACACCAUGGACAAGAAGAGGCAACAUAGGAGCUAGAAGAGAAAAUGAAGGAGAAAUAUCCCAAGCUUUUGUCUAAAUACUUCCUAAAUUUCGGGACGAAAUUUCUUUUAAGGGGGGUAGAAUGUAACAACCCGAACUUUCGUACCUUAUUAUUAUUAUUAGCCUAAAGAUAAAUAAUAAGUGAUCGUUGUAGUAUUCGAAAUCUGCCAUUUUCAUGUAUAAUAAUUGAUCUUGGAAUUAUAAAUAAUCGUUGCUUCGUUCUCGAAUGAAUAUUUCAAGUAAAAAAAAAUAACACCAAAUAAAAAUUUAUAAUGUCCGACAUAUCUCCGAAGUCCGCUAAAUUACUAUUAUACAAAUUUAUCAAAUCCUUAUCUAUUACAAUUAGGGAAAAGUUCACGCAGCCCGUUCAACGGUCGUGCUCGUACUCCAAGAAAGUCCGGUACAUCAUCAGGGAAGACUAUGGAUGUUAUUUGUUUUCCUACACCAAAGCCACGAGCUUAAACUGGGUUUUUCCUACACCAAAUUAAACAAAUAAGUAAAUAAAUAUAAUACUUAAAUAAUAAAAUAAAAUAAAAUAAAAAGAAGAAGAAAGAUGGGAUAAGAAUGUUAGCAACUUGCUGCACAACUUGAUACCCACGCCACUUUCACAGCCAUCUUUUAUACAUAUAUGUAGAUAUACAAUCUUUUUCACCACCACUCCAUGAAUCUUCCCCAAAUCUAUCAACUACCUUCCCUUUAUAAUCUGUCAUUCACAAAUCAGUUUCCUAAUUCUACCAACAAUCUGGAAAGAAAAGAAAUAGAGAGGAACCGUGAGUUCAAGACUCCGGUUUUGAUAUGUGGUUAUCUAUUCAACAAAGUUGAGGAGGAACUGACAAUUGAAAUAGAUACAGAGGGAUUCAUCAAGUUGCUUCUUUUUCACGAUCUGUCAAUUGAAGGUAUACUCCCUCCAAAUUUCGAGUUUCAAUCAUCAGUUUAUGCAUAAACAUACCAUCAUCCGAACUAAUCACAUAACUCAAGCAAUUAACACAAUUGAACACUCCCACGAUUAAAUCGAAAUGCGAAAGAACUUGGUAAAGAAAACUUAUCUUUCGGGGCUGAACGGGUUAGUUCCGGGACGUUUCGGGGCUGUUCGGAGUUGUUCGGGGCUGCGCGGUGUCGGUUCGGGGUGGACUCGGAGUCAAUCGGAGGCUGACCAGCUGGCUGGGACAGCAGCGGCCACAACAGCGGUUUUCGGCGACGGCGGCGGAUCCGCAGCGGCGGUGGCGGUGCGGCGAAUCGAGGGAGAGAGAGAGACCGACCGAGAGAGAGAGGCCGACUGGGAGAGAGAGGGACGGAGCGUGCAGACCAGCAGACUUCCGGGACGGCUGUGCAUGCACAGCGGUGGCGGCGGCGGAACGGGAGAAAGACGGUGAGGAUGGCGGCGCGACGGUGAAGAGAGAAGAGAAGAGAAGAGAAGAGAAGAAAGAGAGAUGAGGAAGGAGAAAGGGGAUAUGCUGCGGUAUGUUCAAUUAGGGAUUUGGAAGAGAAAUUGGAUAAAAUCAAAUUUGGGGAUUUGGCAGAGAGGGAGAAACCGACGGGUUUGGUGAUAAGGAGUAUAGGCUUUAUGCCUUCUUAAUUAAUUGGAAUUGGGCCAUUAAAAUAGUGAAUUCAUUUUAGUUUUUGGGCCAAGGAAAUUCAUCAAGAAUGGGCCUAUCCAUGGAGUAUGAGAUAUACAUUAAUUAAUUGUUGGGCCACUUGAUGGAAUUAAUAAUUGGGCUGGAAAUGUUUUAAAAGAGAGUGGAGGAAAGGUCAAUAAAAUCGUUUUGGGCCGAGAUUUAA
This is a long non-coding RNA of Salvia splendens (bonfire salvia), 2898 nucleotides long. RefSeq lists it as uncharacterized. The transcript has 2 exons. Lineage: Eukaryota; Viridiplantae; Streptophyta; Magnoliopsida; Lamiales; Lamiaceae. The record is from RefSeq and is a predicted model, not a curated record.